This is a non-coding RNA of Triticum urartu, 115 nucleotides long. NCBI's taxonomy places the organism in Eukaryota, Viridiplantae, Streptophyta, Magnoliopsida, Poales, Poaceae. The record is from Rfam.
CUGGUACUCCCUCCGUUCCGAAUUACUCGUCGCAGAAAUGGAUGUAUCUAGAUGUAUUUUAGUUCUAGAUACAUUCAUUUCUACGACGAGUAAUUUGGAACGGAGGGAGUACAUG